AUGCCGGUAGUUCGAGAAAGCGGAACCGCUCGAGGAUGCUGGGCACGGAAGGGGGAGGAGCAGAGCCGUCUCCGACGCGGCAUGUCUAAGAGGCGGGCGCAGAGGGGGAUAGCGGCGGCGAUCGCCGGCGAGGGUGUUGCGGCAGCCUGCCCACGGAUCUCGGCGAUGGCGCCUGCUCGAGAAAGUCGCAGCACUCGAGGAUGCGUGGCGCGGAGGGAGAGAGCAGCAGCGGAUCUGACGCCGCCGCCGUCCGCCGCCGCGGCGCUUCAGCGUCGGCAUGUGGUGGAGGUCAACCAGAAGGUGGACGACGCCCUGCCGCUUGCAGCCGAGCUGCUCGUCGACGUGGACGCCGUCUUCUUUCCUGCGAUGUGCCGAAGGGGAACUGCUCGCCGGGAGUCACCCAUGGCCAGGAUCUUGAUCUUGAUGCACAACCAGGAGGUGAACUAG
RNAcentral lists this ribosomal RNA (447 nucleotides) under Triticum aestivum (bread wheat). RNAcentral describes it as "partial small subunit ribosomal RNA". Lineage: Eukaryota; Viridiplantae; Streptophyta; Magnoliopsida; Poales; Poaceae. The record is from RNAcentral.